GCUGAAAUCUGAUUAUAGUUCAGCAGAGAGAAUGAGUCUGUGUUUGUGUGAAACACUGUAAUGUGAAUGGCAGUUCUGUGUGAAGAAUUUCAAAGAUUGGAACGAGGAUAAUUGUGUGCUGAAAGUUGUGAGGGAGCAAUAUUACAGUUGGAGAUUAUGAGGGUGAAUAUAUUGGUGGAAAUAGCAGUUAUUGGUAUGACUGAAUUG
Molecule: long non-coding RNA, 207 nt
Filed under: Physcomitrium patens
Lineage: Eukaryota; Viridiplantae; Streptophyta; Bryopsida; Funariales; Funariaceae
Description: long non-coding RNA (PPAT_LNC004358)
Source: RNAcentral